Molecule: ribosomal RNA, 468 nt
Filed under: uncultured bacterium
Lineage: Bacteria
Description: partial 16S ribosomal RNA
Rfam family: Bacterial small subunit ribosomal RNA
Source: RNAcentral
GACGAACGCUGGCGGCAUGCUUAACACAUGCAAGUCGAACGGAAAGGCCCUGCUUUUGUGGGGUGCUCGAGUGGCGAACGGGUGAGUAACACGUGAGUAACCUGCCCUUGACUUUGGGAUAACUUCAGGAAACUGGGGCUAAUACCGGAUAGGAGCUCCUGCUGCAUGGUGGGGGUUGGAAAGUUUCGGCGGUUGGGGCUGGACUCGCGGCUUAUCAGCUUGUUGGUGGGGUAGUGGCUUACCAAGGCUUUGACGGGUAGCCGGCCUGAGAGGGUGACCGGCCACAUUGGGACUGAGAUACGGCCCAGACUCCUACGGGAGGCAGCAGUGGGGAAUAUUGCACAAUGGGCGGAAGCCUGAUGCAGCAACGCCGCGUGCGGGAUGACGGCCUUCGGGUUGUAAACCGCUUUCGCCUGUGACGAAGCGUGAGUGACGGUAAUGGGUAAAGAAGCACCGGCUAACUACGUG